UUCCUACGGGGGCAGCAGUGGGGAAUCUUGGACAAUGGGGGCAACCCUGAUCCAGCCAUGCCGCGUGUGUGAAGAAGGCCUUCGGGUUGUAAAGCACUUUCAGUAGGGAGGAAGGCUUAUCCUUAAUACGGAUGAGUACUUGACGUUACCUACAGAAGAAGCACCGGCUAAUUUCGUGCCAGCAGCCGCGGUAAUACGAAAGGUGCAAGCGUUAAUCGGAAUUACUGGGCGUAAAGCGCGCGUAGGCGGUUUGCUAAGUCAGAUGUGAAAGCCCCGGGCUCAACCUGGGAACUGCAUUUGAAACUGGCAGGCUAGAAUGCAGUAGAGGGAGGUGGAAUUUCCGGUGUAGCGGUGAAAUGCGUAGAGAUCGGAAGGAACACCAGUGGCGAAGGCGGCCUCCUGGACUGACAUGACGCUGAGUG
RNAcentral lists this ribosomal RNA (422 nucleotides) under uncultured Alcanivorax sp. RNAcentral's name for it is "bacterial SSU rRNA". It matches the Rfam family "Bacterial small subunit ribosomal RNA", at positions 336 to 751 of the family's 1533-position model. The record is from RNAcentral. Lineage: Bacteria; Pseudomonadati; Pseudomonadota; Gammaproteobacteria; Oceanospirillales; Alcanivoracaceae.